AUCGCCGUCACUUCCACAAACGUCUACGACCGCACCUAAACAUUUUUGCAUGUUUACAAUUCUAAUUUUAAACAGCCAAUCUGGUUUUUGGUAACAAUUACAAUUAAGCGUCGAUUGGCUGUUUAAAAUUAGAAUUGUAGGUGCGGUCGUAGAUGUUUGUAGGAGUGGCGACGAU
Molecule: non-coding RNA, 175 nt
Organism: Paramuricea clavata
Lineage: Eukaryota; Metazoa; Cnidaria; Anthozoa; Malacalcyonacea; Plexauridae
Source: the annotation of a GenBank genome assembly